UAGGGAAUCUUCGGCAAUGGACGAAAGUCUGACCGAGCAACGCCGCGUGAGUGAAGAAGGUUUUCGGAUCGUAAAACUCUGUUGUUAGAGAAGAACAAGGACGUUAGUAACUGAACGUCCCCUGACGGUAUCUAACCAGAAAGCCACGGCUAACUACGUGCCAGCAGCCGCGGUAAUACGUAGGUGGCAAGCGUUGUCCGGAUUUAUUGGGCGUAAAGCGAGCGCAGGCGGUUUCUUAAGUCUGAUGUGAAAGCCCCCGGCUCAACCGGGGAGGGUCAUUGGAAACUGGGAGACGUGAGUGCAGAAGAGGAGAGUGGAAUUCCAUGUGUAGCGGUGAAAUGCGUAGAUAUAUGGAGGAACACCAGUGGCGAAGGCGGCUCUCUGGUCUGUAACUGACGCUGAGGAUCGAAAGCGUGGGGAGCAAACAGG
This 429-nucleotide ribosomal RNA is filed under the name Gemmatimonadota bacterium. RNAcentral's name for it is "Gemmatimonadetes bacterium partial 16S ribosomal RNA". It matches the Rfam family "Bacterial small subunit ribosomal RNA", at positions 355 to 776 of the family's 1533-position model. The record is from RNAcentral. Lineage: Bacteria; Pseudomonadati; Gemmatimonadota.